AUGAACGCUAGCGGCAGGCUUAAUACAUGCAAGUCGUGGGGCAGCAGGGGUAGCAAUACCCGCUGGCGACCGGCAAACGGGUGCGGAACACGUACGCAACCUUCCUUUAACUGGAGAAUAGCCCCUCGAAAGAGGGAUUAAUACUCCGUAACAUAUUGAUAAGGCAUCUUAUUAAUAUUAUAGCUCCGGCGGUUAAAGAUGGGCGUGCGCCUGAUUAGAUAGUUGGCAGGGAACGGCCUACCAAGUCUGCGAUCAGUAACUGGUGUGAGAGCACGACCAGUCACACGGGCACUGAGACACGGGCCCGACUCCUACGGGAGGCAGCAGUAAGGAAUAUUGGUCAAUGGACGCAAGUCUGAACCAGCCAUGCCGCGUGGAGGAUUAAGGCCCUCUGGGUUGUAAACUCCUUUUAUCUGGGAAGAAAUCCAUUCUUUUCUUAGGUGGUUGACGGUACCAGAGGAAUAAGCA
RNAcentral lists this ribosomal RNA (468 nucleotides) under uncultured bacterium. RNAcentral's name for it is "bacterial SSU rRNA". It matches the Rfam family "Bacterial small subunit ribosomal RNA", at positions 29 to 492 of the family's 1533-position model. The record is from RNAcentral.